Small nucleolar RNA from Rattus norvegicus (Norway rat), 204 nucleotides. Ensembl annotates it as small nucleolar RNA SNORA73 family. The record is from Ensembl. NCBI's taxonomy places the organism in Eukaryota, Metazoa, Chordata, Mammalia, Rodentia, Muridae.
CCAACAUGGACACCCUGAGAGGUCACUCUCCCUGGGUUCUGUCCUAGUGGCAUAUGGGAGCAUAGGGUAUUACCGGGUGAUAUAAAGUCCCUUUCCACAAUGUUGGCGAUGAAGCUGGGCUUCAACUUUGCGUCUCCAUAUACAUAUGACUUCUCAGAGUCCUGUAGAUGAUGACUGAGAAGACAAACCAUGUGGAAAAAAAAG